GAGUUUGAUCCUGGCUCAGGAUGAACGCUAGCGGGAGGCCUAACACAUGCAAGCCGAGCGGUAUUGUUUCUUCGGAAAUGAGAGAGCGGCGUACGGGUGCGGAACACGUGUGCAACCUGCCUUUAUCUGGGGGAUAGCCUUUCGAAAGGAAGAUUAAUACUCCAUAAUAUAUUGAACGGCAUCGUUUAAUAUUGAAAGCUCCGGCGGAUAGAGAUGGGCACGCGCAAGAUUAGCUAGUUGGUGAGGUAACGGCUCACCAAGGCGAUGAUCUUUAGGGGGCCUGAGAGGGUGAUCCCCCACACUGGUACUGAGACACGGACCAGACUCCUACGGGAGGCAGCAGUGAGGAAUAUUGGUCAAUGGGUGCAAGCCUGAACCAGCCAUCCCGCGUGAAGGACGACUGCCCUAUGGGUUGUAAACUUCUUUUGUAUAGGGAUAAACCUACCCUCGUGAGGGUAGCUGAAGGUACUAUACGAAUAAGCACCGGCUAACUCCGUGCCAGCCG
Molecule: ribosomal RNA, 505 nt
Filed under: uncultured microorganism
Description: bacterial SSU rRNA
Rfam family: Bacterial small subunit ribosomal RNA
Source: RNAcentral